ACGCUCGACACCUACGUGAGGCAGCAGUGGGGAAUAUUGCACAAUGGGGGAAACCCUGAUGCAGCGACGCCGCGUGGAGGAAGAAGGUCUUCGGAUUGUAAACUCCUGUUGUUGGGGAAAAAGAGGAUGGUACCCAACAAGGAAGUGACGGCUAACUACGUGUCAGCAGCCGCGGUAAUCUGAGCGGGCUGGCAAGGC
Molecule: ribosomal RNA, 198 nt
Filed under: uncultured bacterium
Lineage: Bacteria
Description: partial 16S ribosomal RNA
Rfam family: Bacterial small subunit ribosomal RNA
Source: RNAcentral